AGAGUUUGAUCCUGGCUCAGGACGAACGCUGGCGGCGUGCUUAACACAUGCAAGUCGAGCGGAAAGGCCCUUCGGGGUACUCGAGCGGCGAACGGGUGAGUAACACGUGAGCAACCUGCCCCUGGCUCUGGGAUAGCUCCGGGAAACCGGGAUUAAUACCGGAUGUGACCUCUUGGUGCAUGUCUUGAGGUGGAAAGUUU
RNAcentral lists this ribosomal RNA (200 nucleotides) under uncultured bacterium. RNAcentral's name for it is "partial 16S ribosomal RNA". It matches the Rfam family "Bacterial small subunit ribosomal RNA", at positions 8 to 210 of the family's 1533-position model. The record is from RNAcentral.